Molecule: long non-coding RNA, 848 nt
Organism: Drosophila santomea
Lineage: Eukaryota; Metazoa; Arthropoda; Insecta; Diptera; Drosophilidae
Exons: 3
Source: RefSeq, a predicted model, not a curated record
UCUUUGAACCCUAGUUGAACUUCGAACCCUUGGUGUAACAGAAAAAGAGGACAAAUUCCAUUAACUCCAGAUGCUCAGCGUUUUCCUCUUGAAAGGACAACAACAUAUAUGAGUUACAUGAAACCUACAAUGGAUUUAUCAACAAGGAGACUUUGCUGCAUCUGUUGAUUAACAAUUGAUGGUGUAUAUAUUUUUUAUCAGUGAUUUAUGCGAACAAAGCUCUUGUUCAUUUGAUGUUUAUUAUUUAUGUUAGUUCACUAUGCUGAAGUCAAAAUUUUCAUGCUCACAGUGCAAUUAAUUGCCGUUAAUAAUAUGGACUUAACUUUAUAAAUAACUAGGUGGCUGCCACAUAAAUUUAUCAGAAAGUUGACCCCUCACCUCAGCGCCGCAAUGUAUGCAACAAGUUUUUGCAUUCGCACGCCGGUUGAGGCUUGUGAUGCGAUCCCAUAAAUUAAACUGGCUAAAACCGGAGAAAAGGAAGGCAAACGUCACCGAAACAGGAAAAAAGAAGCGCAAGGCCAGAGCAAACUCAGUCCGCAGAAGCCGCAAACAUGCAAACCAAAAAAAAGAGGGGGCAACAUGGGCGUGGGAAAGGGGGAUACCGGUUGCCAGGGGGAGAAUGCAGCACAUACUAAGCACGUGUCAAGAGUGCGGCCCAAGUUUUAAUUUGCCGGAGGCUUCCACUAACAUCCCAUGCCCCGAAUCGCCACUGGAAGAACUGCAAUGCAUUUAUAUAUGUACUUUAUAUUUUUUAACCAUAAUUAUUUCAGUUGCAAAACUACACACAUUACACAGACAUAUAAGAAAUGCAUCUUGUUAACUGAUUCACAAUCUAAAUCUGUUUACAA